Rhinopithecus roxellana (golden snub-nosed monkey) is the source of this 1971-nucleotide long non-coding RNA. RefSeq lists it as uncharacterized. The transcript is spliced from 4 exons. Lineage: Eukaryota; Metazoa; Chordata; Mammalia; Primates; Cercopithecidae. The record is from RefSeq and is a predicted model, not a curated record.
UUUUAAAGUUAUAUUGAUACUUUUUUUCUGUUUCUUUUUUCAGAACAGUGUGGGCUUAUGAAGUAGAAUUUAUGGGUAUGUGAAUCUGGCAGAGACUUACAUGGAACCACUAGGGAAUAUUCUAAAACUUUUACUCUUUGGGCUGGCUACCUUUGGAGGAUGACUCUCAGGUCCAAAUUGCGAGGCCAGACAGGAAUGCUGGAUAGAGCUUAGCAAUGGCUGAAGUGAUGCUGGCUUAAGCCAGGACAACCUGGUUACUUUAGAAGGAAAUCUCACCACCACUGUCCUGCACUCUCGUCAAUUCAUUCUGAGACACAGUAGCAACACCCACAGGUGGAAGGCUGUGCCUCGGGGCUUUGCGCUCUUCAUCUCCUCUGCAAGUCAGGAAUAUUUAUUUUACUGGAUGGAAACAGAUUCAAAGAGAUGAGGUAACAAUUGAAUAGUAAUACUUGGAGACUUCAAUACACUGCUUUCAAUAAUGGAUAGAACAACCAGAUGGAAGAUCAGUAAGAAAAGAGAAGACGUGACCAAGUCUAUGGACUGACUAGACCUAACAGACAUCUAUAGAACACACCACCCAAGAGCGGCAGAACACACAUCCUUCCCAAGUGUACAUGGAACAUUCUCCAGAUAGACCCUAUGUAUAGAAGUCAAUAACAGAAAGAACUUUGGGAAAUUUACAAAUAUGUGAAAACUAACAGCAUACUACUAAACAACCAGUGAGUCAAAGAAGAAAUCACAAGGGAAAUUAGGAAAUACUUUGAGAUAAAUGAAAAGGGAAACACAACAUAGGAAAUCUUAUGGGAAGUAGGUAAAGCAGUGCUUAGAGGGAAAUGUAUAGCUAUGAAUGACUAUAUUACAAAGGAAGAGAGAUCCCAAAUCAAUAACCUAACCUUCCGCCUUAAAGCACUGGGGGAAAGAAAAAAGAACAAACUAAACCCAAAGCAAGCAGAAGGAAGGAAAUAAUAAAGAUUAGAGCAAACAUUAAUGCAAUAGAGAAUAGAGAAACAGUUGAGAAAAUCAACAGAACCAAAGGUUGGUAUGUUGAGAAGAUCAACAAAGCUGACAAACCUUUAGCUAGAAAGAGGUGAGGUGAUUUUCCCAAGGUGACUCCAAUAGCAAAUGGCAGAGCCAAGAUUCCAAAGUAGGACUGUCUGAUGUCAAAUCUGGGGUUUGUAGCUUUGUCUCCCACCUGGACUAGGAGUGUCUCGAGGAUCAGGAGCUUGUCUUACUCAUCUGUACAUCCCCAGUGCUUUGCUCUGUGCCUGGCACACGUAGGGGCUCAGGAAAUAUUUGCUGAAGUAAAAUGAAAAGUAAACCUCCUCCCCACCCUUAGCAACCAUCUGUGUGAGAUGAUAAAUUAUGCUUCCAAUGCAGAUCGAGCUGAAUUGCACUAUUUCUGAUGAGAAAAGCUGAAAACAGCAAACUGCUUGUCCUUAAAAAUAAACCCUUCAGCUUCAGAGAUUUGGCCCAGAAAUGAACCGUGUUAUAGCUCAAGCCCUGAGAUUGAGUUUAUUACCCUGGAGCCAGGGGUGAUGGAGUUUGUGACUGGAGAGAGAAACUCGAUCACCGUGACCUGGCCCCUGGAUGCACAGUGCAGGCUGGUCUGCCCUUGUUCCCCGUCCUGGGCCCCGGAGGCUGAACACCACUCACGGGAGGGUGACUCUUCUGGAAGCCCCCAAAGUGGAAUUGACCCUAAAUUGAAAAGAAGAUCUUUCUAGGGCAAGAGCUUUGUUCUUGUGAAUUUUCUGCCUCACCAACCAUGGGGAAUGUGAGCUGGGGGGGAAAAGUCUGUUAAAGCUGGUCAUUCAUUUCAGGGGGCCGAGGAGCUGUUCUGAAGGAGCAAAGUCUCCUCAUGCUCUUGGCCUUUUGAUCUACUCAGGUUCUGUGGCAGGAAGACAGGGAGGGAUCCCUGAUCACCCACAGCCCUCCCUGCUGCUGUGGAGGCAGCAUGAUGAUGCGGGGUGGAGC